RNAcentral lists this long non-coding RNA (4568 nucleotides) under Ornithorhynchus anatinus (platypus). RNAcentral's name for it is "lncRNA (ENSOANG00000044019.1)". Lineage: Eukaryota; Metazoa; Chordata; Mammalia; Monotremata; Ornithorhynchidae. The record is from RNAcentral.
CCCCCCUGCAAAGAACAAAAUAGACGGCACGACGAGGCGCUCAAUCAGAUUUUAGUGGUUUACUUCAGUUCUGCCGUCUCUCUCUCUUUCUCUCCUUUACUACAAGGGAUAUUAUAAAGAAUAAAUAGCAGAUACUCUUAAUUUACAACGAUUAGUCAUUCCAUUUGUUCUCUAUAUUUACAAUAACUAAAAUAACAUCGAACUCUACGGCUCCUCCGAGCCCAGGAGACCGGUACACUUUCCGAAGAAUGGAAAAUAGCUUCUUCAUCAUCAUCAUCAUCAUCAUCAUCAUCUUCUUCUUUUUAAAGUCCUUCUACAAAGUUUUUUUUUUCCUCUCCUCUUUGUACUUUAAAAAAAAAAUAUUUUUUUUUUUCCUGCUUCGCCGGGCGAAGUGUUCUGGAAUAUAAAUAGCAGGUAACGUUAGGGACGGACAGAAGAACACGCCUUUCUCUCUCCUUCUUUCUUCUUCUUCUUCUUCUUCUUCUUUUUUUUUUCCUCUUUUGUUUUUUUAAAAAUACAGUAGAAGCCGGUAACUUUUUUUAAACGUAUAAUACUGACCUUUUAAUAAGUAAAACUGGGACCAUAUAUAUACACACACACGCACGCACACAUAUACAUUCCUACAGGUACAGUGCAUAACAUGAACCCUAAAGUUAUGUCCUGCGGCGGGGAGAGGGGACGGAGUUGGGCUUUUGGGGGGGUGGGGAGGGGGCGGACUGGGUGGGCGUGGAAGGGGGCGAGGCGCCCUUAGCAGGAGCAUUUGCACUCCGAUAUGAUGGGGUACUGGAUGGGGAUCCAGGCGCAGCGCUGGCCCCCCCGGCGUUGGCAUCGCCACCUGAGCACAGUGAGGUGCACGGACUUGGACGGCUUGCAGACCAUGCCCUCGGGGAAGGAGCACGACCUUCGGCUGAAGCAGCUGCCCACUUUGACGUAGCGGGGCCAGAAGCGGCUGCCCAGGUCGUUCCACGAGUAGAGGACCGGACAGAAGGUCUGCGACCACAGCCACAGCUGCAGUUUCCUCCGCAGCUUCUUGCUCAGCCGGUGUUUCUUGCCGGAGGGCGGCCCGUCGGAGAACUCCAGGCCUUUGAUCUCGCUGGGCAUGACCCCCGACGGCCGCUGGCGCAGCAGCUGGUCCAGCUCGGUCAAGUCCUCUCCACCACCUCCUCCUGCACCUCCUCCUGCGGCCGCCCCUCCUCCCCCGGCCGGCCGGUCCUCCGGGGGCGUCGAGGCCAUGAAGCCCGGGUCGUAGUGAGCGCCCAGCAGCGAGCGCAGCAGCGUCUCGUUGAGGUCCUUCUCCUUGGGGUCAAAGACGGGGUCCGGGUGCUCGAUGAGGUCCACCAGGGGCAGGUUGUCGCUGGGGGCCGGGCGGAUGUGCAGCCACAGCUUUUUGCACAUUCCCCGCAAACUGCAAUCGCCGAAGGAGGCCUCGGCCUCGAAGCCCCCCGCGGGUGGGAGAUGCCCCGACCGGGUGGCAGAUGCCCGGGCCGGGUGGCAGAUGCCCCGGAACUCAGAAGAGGUGGCUGCGACGGCGCUUGGCAGGGCAGCGAGGAAAAGUGAAUCUGAGGCCAGAAGCCCCCACCCCGACCUCAUCCAUCCCUCCAUCUGCACCUGCAAAGUCCCACAGUCUCCUCUCCUUGACUCGCGGCUGUGACAGUUCUCACCCGGGACACUGGGAGACCCGGGGCGGACGCCCCACCGUCUAGGCCACCCCAGGUCGAAAGAGGAGAGUGAGCACCCCAAAGUUAAAAUAAAUGUUUGAUUCACACUAUUUGGUUUUGUGCCCGGGUGAUGGGGAGAGGGGCUGAAGGAGCCUCAUGUAAGAAGCGAGGCGCAGGAACGAUUUUUCUUACUCCAAGAGUACUUGCUUUCGCCCUUGGCGUUCUCUUAGAAUAGUGCAUUGCACCUAGCAGGCACUUGGUAAAUAUUUUUCUCCUCCUCUUCCUACCACACUCCUGCUGUAACCAGUAGAGGUAGGAGACCAUUUCUAUCUCCGGGGAAGCAACACUGGAAGAGAUAGAAGACCAUCAAGUCAACAGGGGCUUCUUAAUGUAGGGGGCAGAAACGCAAUCUCACUUGGCCUUAAAGGAAGUUGGAAGUUCCCAGUAUUAAUGCAGCCCAGUUCAUUGUUUUUUGUCUCCUGAUCCACUGUGAAAUCCCACGUCCCACCUUAUUCAGAACUGACCCUUAAAGCCACGUCGGACUGCCAGACUCACCUUGUCUCGGGGCUGUGCUCUGGGAUUGAAGGUGGUGCUGUUGAUGGAGAAAGCCUAUCUCUGGGAGGAGGGAGGGUCGAGUGGCCGAAAAGACCAGUCGGUCACCAAUCAAUAACUGCAUCCAGGCCCUGCAUGUGGGUGAAAAGAGUGCUUUGUCACUGCUCCAUCGGAUCCUGACCCUAAUACUGCUAUCGAUAGUAUGCUAGUAUUCCUGUUUCUAUUGCUGCUGCGAUACUCGCCGAAGCUAUUAUUACUAUUUUCAUUACUAUCGUUACGAUUACCACUCAAUCACACACACAAGUAUAUAUAGAUUUAGUCGGCGGCGGCAUUCCAAGAAGACACCCCUGAUGGUGAAUUCACCUAUGAUCUCUCGUGUGUGGCUGAGAGGGCCGUAUUAGAGGAAAUACGUACUUCCAUUCCCACUCCUGACACGGUUCCUACUGCCAGUAUCACUGCUAUUCCUUCAGCUACCCUGACCACUCCUGCCAUUACUGAGGAGGAGGGGGGCUCAGUGGAAAGACCCCGGGCUUGGCAGUCAGAGGUCCUGGGUUCUAAUCCCCGGCUCUGCCGCUUGUCAGCUGUGUGACACGGGGCAAGUCGCUUCACUUCUCUGGGCCUCAGUUCCCUCGUCUGUAAAAUGGGGUUGGAGACUGGGAGCCCCACAUGGGACAACCUCCUUACCUUGUAAAAUAAAAAAAUAAAUGGUGGUAUUUAUUAAGCGCUUACUAUGUGCAAAGCACCGUUCUAAGCGCUGGGGGGGUGCGAGGCAAUGAAGUAGCCCCACGUGGGGCUCACGGUUUUUAAUCCCCAUUUUGCAGAAGAGGUAACUGAGGCACAGAGAAGUGAAGUGACUUGCCCAAAGUCACACAGCUGGCAAAUGGUGGAGCCAGGGUUCGAACCCAUGACCUCUGACUCCCAAGCCCGGGCCCUUUCCACUGAGCCACGCUGCUUCUCUUGUAUCUACCCCACCGCUUAGAACAGUGCUUGGCACAUUGUAAGCGCUUAACAAAUACUGUCAUUUUAUUAUUACUUCUCCUGUAAUUAUUACUACAGUCAUCCGACUCCUGCCACUAUCACUUCUUAGUAUAACUACCAUUACUAAUUAGGGGGUAUAUUAAGUGCUUACUUUGAGCGAAGCACUGGGGUAGAUGCAAGAUAAUCAGGUCAGAUACAGUCCCUGCCCCACACUAUCUGAGCGGGAGGGAAGCGUCUGUGUCAGGAGGCCCAACUUUCAUUCGUUCUUUCGGUCGAGUUUAUUCAGAGCUUACUUUGUGCAGAGCACUGUGCUAAGCGCUUGGGAGAGCACAAUACAAUAAACAGGGACAUUCCCCGCCAACAACAAACAUGCAGUCUAAAUCUCUCCUGAGCCAUCGUUUCAGGCCAGGGGUAGUUAUCCGUGGCAGCCAAGAAUACUAGUGGUAUUAUUUAAGUGUUUACUCUAUGUCAAGUACCAUACUAAGCACUGGGACAUAUGCAGGAUAAUCAGGUUGGGCAUAGAUUCUGUCGCCCAUGGGGCUCCCAGUCUGAGGAGGAGGGAGAACAAGUUCUGAAUCCCCAUUUUACAGACGAAGAAACUGAGGCACAGAGCCGGUAAGUGAUUUGACAAGUCACACAACCGGAAAGUGGCAGAAUUGAAACCCAGAACCCCUGACCCCCCGCGAGCUCAUGCUCUUUCCACGAGGCCACGUGGCUUCUUGUAGUGUGCCCAAAACCAUUUGAGGCUGUGCUUCCCUUCGGCCUGAAGAUAGCCGUUCUUUUUCUUGCACACAUCUGUUCUCCUGGGCAUAUGUUUUAGUAUCCGGCUAUCGUUCACUCGCUUUCUGUAAACGCAUCCAUUCGCUAGAGUGCCCAGUCCUUGCUACAACCUCCCAAAUGCCUGAUUUAGUCCUCUGCACACAGUAAGUGCUUCAUGCAGACCACUGACAGAUUUUAUCUCCCGGCCCUGUUGCUCGAACACCGCAGUUGAUGCCGCCAUUUAGGAUUUAAUUGUUAGCCCUCAUGAUUUGCCAUUCGGUUUCAAAUCUGGUCCGUGGUGGUCACGGAUGAAAUUGCUCAGGAGCAGUUCCGACUGAUCCCUGUGCCUCCUUGUACGUCUGCUUCCAGAGCCCAGUCUGUGUCAGCAUCCGGCGGAUUCUGGACGGCCUCCUCGGGCAUCGGUCGAGCCACCGUCGGUUGCCUCCGAAGCUGGUGAGACGGAAGAGUGAGUCCGAAAGGAGUUCUGACCCAGCUUCCAGGCCUUUGGUUGUCUUCAAACACGGGCCCGUUGCUCAGCCCCGCUGUCCUCCAGGGGUGAUGAGGACCCUUUCCCGUAUCUCUGCCCCUUCCCGUUCUGAGGACUUCCGGACGGAGGGUUGG